GACGAACGCUGGCGGCGUGCUUAACACAUGCAAGUCGAACGGAAAGGCCCUGCUUUUGUUGGUCGCUCGAGUGGCGAACGCGUGAGUAACACGUGAGUAACCUGCCCUUGACUUUGGGAUAACUUCAGGAAACAGGGGCUAAUACCGGAUAGGAGCUCCUGCUGCAUGGUGUGGGUUGGAAAGUUUCGGUGGUUGGGGAUGGACUCGCUGCUUAUCAGCUUGUUUGUGUGGUAGUGGAUUACCAAGGCUUUGACGGAUAGCCGACCUGAGAGGGUGGCCGGCCACCAUGGGACUAAGAGAGGGCGCAGACUGCUACGGUAGGCAACAGGGGGGAAUAUUGCGCAAUGGGCGGAAGUCUGAUGCAGAGGCGCCGCGUGCGGGAUGACGGCCUUCGGGUUGUAAACCGCUUUCGCCUGUGACGAAGCGUGAGUGACGGUAAUUGGUAAAGAAGCACCGGCUAACUACGUG
Molecule: ribosomal RNA, 468 nt
Filed under: uncultured bacterium
Lineage: Bacteria
Description: partial 16S ribosomal RNA
Rfam family: Bacterial small subunit ribosomal RNA
Source: RNAcentral